Molecule: long non-coding RNA, 345 nt
Filed under: Nicotiana benthamiana
Lineage: Eukaryota; Viridiplantae; Streptophyta; Magnoliopsida; Solanales; Solanaceae
Description: long non-coding RNA (NBEN_LNC031825)
Source: RNAcentral
CCAAUGGGUACCACAGAUUUGCAAUAAAGAUCCCAUGUCAUAGUCACAGGUUCAACAACCUUAAACACUUUAACAAGAAGAUAAGCCAAAGAAGAACAAAAACCCAUGUGAAUUAUUGUUAGUGAAAUGGGGUAUGGCCAAUUGUAUAACUUUCUAUCCAGGAUGUACUUGUUGUACACAAUCACAGUGAUCAUGUGAAUUAUUGUUAGUGAAAUGGGGUAAGGCCAAUUGUACAACUUUCUAUCCAGGAUGUACUUGUUGUACACAAUCACAGUGAAAGAGAGAAAGAUCCAAAUUGCAACAUAGGUGUAUGAAAGUAAGAUCUUUUUCACAACCCCUUCACUC